CCUUCCCCCCGCCGCCGACCGCUAGCAAUCUAGCAGCCCACACGCCGUCGGCCGUCGCCAGCACGGCCUCACCGCGGCAGCGAGGUUUCAGCCCUGCCCCCUUCAUCCUCAGGCACCCCCAAUGCUAACACUUUUAACCCUCGGGCCGCAUGUUCUCGAAGUCAGAGCACCGACGCUGAGAGGCCAAGGAGCGGUGGUGAACGCCGCCACCCCUCUCAGAUCCGGGGGUGAGAUAGAGAGGUGGGUCACCUGGGAGAGGGAGAACUAGCCCCCGCUCUCGUCACCAUGGCGCCUCCACCGCCGCCGCCACGCCAGGGGCCUCCAUCGAUCUGCACUCGCCGGAUCUGUUCAAGGAGAAUCUGGCCAUUGACUGCCGGUGCUUUCCCUCCCCCGACGAUCCGCCAUGACUUGUGGUAAUUCUUCUAUCCAGCAAGCAGCUCUUCGGUUGGGAGUUGGAGCAGAAUUGGCGGAGCUACAAAGAAAAGCCUGGGCGGGCCAAUCUAAAAAAACACGAAAAAAAUUCAACCCAAGGAAAGGAUGAUGAGCUGCUGCUGAAAAGUCUUCCUCAACUUAAUCUGUAACGUACAUCUCUUUUUUCACUUGAAAACCAAAUCGAUUUUGCAUUGAU
Triticum aestivum (bread wheat) is the source of this 628-nucleotide long non-coding RNA. RefSeq lists it as uncharacterized. NCBI's taxonomy places the organism in Eukaryota, Viridiplantae, Streptophyta, Magnoliopsida, Poales, Poaceae. The record is from RefSeq and is a predicted model, not a curated record. The transcript has 3 exons.